Cariama cristata (Red-legged seriema) is the source of this 1126-nucleotide long non-coding RNA. RefSeq lists it as uncharacterized. The record is from RefSeq and is a predicted model, not a curated record. The transcript has 2 exons. Lineage: Eukaryota; Metazoa; Chordata; Aves; Cariamiformes; Cariamidae.
UAUAUAGUAUAUAUGUUAUCUUAAACUUAUAUAUUUUAAAAUGCCACUACUAGCCAGCGCAGCUAAAAAUGAAAUACAUUCCCGACUGCUUCUGCCGACGGCAGAGGCAGCUUCUUAACGUGGCUCUUGCUUCUCUCUCACCAUAACUACUUCUAACCUCAAGCACGGGUCCUUGGCUGUCUGACCUCUACACUCUAGUUAUGCAAUGUCCUUAGAGAAUUCUGUGCACUGGCCACUGUGAUGGAAACCAAUGGGCCGGGGGUGCUUUGAGUUUAUUAGUAAUUGUUCUGCCAAAGUUGGUGUUUGUAUGACAAGCGUGUAAACCUGUCAGAUAAUCAGCAGAGGUCCAAGUUGGUAACGGUGUGGGCCUCUGUGCUGCGUUCACGAGGAGGCGAGACUUUAAAAUCUGCUGUUCUGCUCUUGCAGUGAUCUGUUGGCAGUCGCAAGUCAGCAACACCUCUGCUUUAUUAUUUGACACUUUACAUCUAAAAAGUCUUCUCUUUCUAUUUAUGUAACCCAUAGUCUUUGAAGAGUAUGGAAAAUGGCAUUUCUCUCUGACCUCUAGAAGUUCAAGUGUCAUGGGAAAAAAAAAAAAGAAAAAAAAAAACAGGAACCCCCCCCUUUACUCUUAUGGACCUCAUUUCAAUAUACUGUUUACAGUUUGACGGAAUUGUAUAAUUUAAUAUUUCUCUUGUACUGUAGUUUAUAUUUAUUUACAGAUUUUUUUUGUACUGUGUGAUUUGAAUUUUUUGUUCCUUGCUAUGAUCAAUGUUUUAUGUAGUAGAGCACUUAUGAUCACAAAUUAAGGUUUUUGGUUUGAUUGCACUACAUUAAUUUUUUUAAUGCAGUUCUGAUUUUUUGACUGGACUAAAUAAGCUGUGUCUUAAUGUAUGUGAUAAGUACUUUUAAAUUUUUAUUUCAUGUGGUCCAUUUAUUUUUUUGCAUUGUAUGUCAAAGCGCUAAUUCUCUUGUUGUGCAUGUGUAAGAUUUAAUGGCUCCAUUGUAUUAUUUGACCAUGUCAUUUUGGAAACACAUUCCCAGCUGUAACGUUGUGUAUGGUAGUUUUCACUGGAUGCUAGACUUUUCAAAACCACUAUUCUUCUAAUAAAUUUUGUUGUGAAAAACU